Molecule: ribosomal RNA, 301 nt
Filed under: uncultured bacterium
Lineage: Bacteria
Description: partial 16S ribosomal RNA
Rfam family: Bacterial small subunit ribosomal RNA
Source: RNAcentral
CAGUAGCCGCGGGAAAACGGAGAGUGCAAGCGUUACUCGGAAUCACUGGGCGUAAAGGACGCGUAGGCGGAUUAUCAAGUCUCUUGUGAAAUCUAACGGCUUAACCGUUAAACUGCUUGGGAAACUGAUAAUCUAGAGUAGGGAGAGGCAGAUGGAAUUCUUGGUGUAGGGGUAAAAUCCGUAGAUAUCAAGAAGAACACCUAUUGCGAAGGCGAUCUGCUGGAACUUAACUGACGCUAAUGCGUAAAAGCGUGGGGAGCAAACAGGAUUAGAGACCCGCGUAGUCCCUGUCUCUUAUACA